RNAcentral lists this ribosomal RNA (322 nucleotides) under uncultured eukaryote. RNAcentral describes it as "partial 18S ribosomal RNA". It matches the Rfam family "Eukaryotic small subunit ribosomal RNA", at positions 1470 to 1796 of the family's 1831-position model. The record is from RNAcentral.
CCCUUAGAUGUUCUGGGCCGCACGCGUGCUACACUGAGUGGAUCAGCGGGUCAGGUUGCGCGAAAGUGUUUCCUAAUCUUGAAAUCCGCUCGUGAUGGGGAUUGACGGUUGCAAUUUUCCGUCAUGAACGAGGAAUACCUUGUAAGCGCGGGUCAUCAUCCCGCGCUGAAUACGUCCCUGCCCUUUGUACACACCGCCCGUCGCUCCUACCGAUUGAGUGGUCCGGUGAGGCUUUGGGAUCUGAGCGGAAAGAGCGUUUCGCUGUUUCUGCUCGGAAAACUCAGUCGAACCUUAUCAUUUAGAGGAAGGAGAAUUCGUAACA